UCUUGGUCAUUUAGAGGAAGUAAAAGUCGUAACAAGGUUUCCGUAGGUGAACCUGCGGAAGGAUCAUUAAAGAAAUUUAAUAAUUUUGAAAAUGGAUUUUUUUGUUUUGGCAAGAGCAUGAGAGCUUUUACUGGGCAAGAAGACAAGAGAUGGAGAGUCCAGCCGGGCCUGCGCUUAAGUGCGCGGUCUUGCUAGGCUUGUAAGUUUCUUUCUUGCUAUUCCAAACGGUGAGAGAUUUCUGUGCUUUUGUUAUAGGACAAUUAAAACCGUUUCAAUACAACACACUGUGGAGUUUUCAUAUCUUUGCAACUUUUUCUUUGGGCAUUCGAGCAAUCGGGGCCCAGAGGUAACAAACACAAACAAUUUUAUCUAUUCAUUAAAUUUUUGUCAAAAACAAGAAUUUUCGUAACUGGAAAUUUUAAAAUAUUAAAAACUUUCAACAACGGAUCUCUUGGUUCUCGCAUCGAUGAAGAACGCAGCGAAAUGCGAUACGUAAUGUGAAUUGCAGAAUUCCGUGAAUCAUCGAAUCUUUGAACGCACAUUGCGCCCCUUGGUAUUCCAGGGGGCAUGCCUGUUUGAGCGUCAUUUCCUUCUCAAACAUUCUGUUUGGUAGUGAGUGAUACUCUUUGGAGUUAACUUGAAAUUGCUGGCCUUUUCAUUGGAUGUUUUUUUUCCAAAGAGAGGUUCCUCUGCGUGCUUGAGGUAUAAUGCAAGUACGGUCGUUUUAGGUUUUACCAACUGCGGCUAAUCUUUUUUUAUACUGAGCGUAUUGGAACGUUAUCGAUAAGAAGAGAGCGUCUAGGCGAACAAUGUUCUCAAAGUUUGACCUCAAAUCAGGUAGGAGUACCCGCUGAACUUAAGCAUAUCAAUAAGCGGAG
RNAcentral lists this ribosomal RNA (878 nucleotides) under uncultured fungus. RNAcentral's name for it is "eukaryotic LSU rRNA". The stretch from base 432 to 585 matches the Rfam family "5.8S ribosomal RNA". Lineage: Eukaryota; Fungi. The record is from RNAcentral.